Molecule: ribosomal RNA, 504 nt
Filed under: uncultured bacterium
Lineage: Bacteria
Description: bacterial SSU rRNA
Rfam family: Bacterial small subunit ribosomal RNA
Source: RNAcentral
GAUGAACGCUGGCGGCGUGCCUAAUACAUGCAAGUCGAACGCAUUGUGGUUGAAAUGAUAUGAAGAACUUGUUCAGAUUUGAUUUUCAACAUUGCAAUGAGUGGCGAACGGGUGAGUAACACGUGGGAAACCUACCUCUUAGCAGGGGAUAACAUUUGGAAACAAAUGCUAAUACCGUAUAAUAAUUAAAACCGCAUGGUUUUAGUUUAAAAGAUGGUCUUGCUAUCACUAAGAGAUGGUCCCGCGGUGUAUUAGUUAGUUGGUGAGGUAAUGGCUCACCAAGACAAUGAUACAUAGCCGAGUUGAGAGACUGGCCGGCCACAAUGGGACUGAGACACGGCCCAUACUCCUACGGGAGGCAGCAGUAGGGAAUCUUCCACAAUGGACGAAAGUCUGAUGGAGCAACGCCGCGUGUGUGAUGAAGGGUUUCGGCUCGUAAAACACUGUUGUAAGAGAAGAAUGACAUUGAGAGUAACUGUUCAAUGUGUGACGGUAUCUUAACCG